UGGAGCACCGGCCGGGAGAAUUAACUCUUUGAAGAGCGGGGAGCUGUUAGGAAGCACAUAGCCCCAAAUGCAGCGACGGAACAGCUCCGGCACUUCUCUCCGCCGCACCCACGUUUCCUAGGGGCUUCUGGUUUCACCGCUCGGUUUCCAGGUUCGCACAGCGCGUCCCAAUAAGCCACGCUUCAGGAGGCCUUUUCGUUUUAACCCCGGACUGGAAAACAACUCGGCACACGCUUCCCCCUCCCACGAGAGCGGCAGCCUCGCUCCCCCAGCCUUCCCGCACUAGCUGGGAUGGAGCACGAACCUUCAGCUCUAUCACGCGAAAAAGCUCCCGAGCUUUUUGGGAUGGGAAUGUCCGCGGCAGCAGAGCUGAGCCCGGCCGCAGUUUCACGGCUAAACGCGGAGCGGCUCUUCCUUUCGUGGAGCGACUUCUCUUUAGGGUAUUGCCAUUUCCCAAAACACGUCUGUCUAGAAACAGAACUGGGGUGGUUGCAUGAACUCGUCGUCCAAUACACGGUUGUGAAAUCGUUCAUGUCCCGCUCGCAACCGCGGCUACAUCACGGAAACGGGGGAAAUGCCGGUGGAAAAAAACGUAACUGUUUCGGAAAUCAGAUCGUGUUUAUUCCCGGAGAAAAAGCAACAUCAAACUGGUAGCCUAUUCCAAAUGCGCCUACAGGGAGACGAAUGUUACAUCCUUUCACACCAUCCAGGAGCUGACAUUUCUCGUUUAUACAUUGACAGGGCUCGGGAGCUUUUAACAGGUCGAUGCUCAUGUAUAUAAAUAUAAAUACAAAUACAUUUCCAUU
Cygnus olor (mute swan) is the source of this 806-nucleotide long non-coding RNA. RefSeq lists it as uncharacterized. The transcript is spliced from 2 exons. Lineage: Eukaryota; Metazoa; Chordata; Aves; Anseriformes; Anatidae. The record is from RefSeq and is a predicted model, not a curated record.